Molecule: ribosomal RNA, 651 nt
Filed under: uncultured bacterium
Lineage: Bacteria
Description: bacterial SSU rRNA
Rfam family: Bacterial small subunit ribosomal RNA
Source: RNAcentral
GGAUGAGUCUGCGUACCAUUAGCUAGUAGGCGGGGUAAGAGCCCACCUAGGCUACGAUGGUUAGCGGGUCUGAGAGGAUGAUCCGCCACACUGGAACUGGAACACGGACCAGACUCCUACGGGAGGCAGCAGUGAGGAAUUUUGCGCAAUGGGGGCAACCCUGACGCAGCGACGCCGCGUGGGUGAUGAAGGCUUUCGAGUCGUAAAGCCCUGUCAAGUGGGAAGAAACGUUGACGUAUGAAUAGUGCGUCAAUUUGACGGUACCGCUAAAGGAAGCACCGGCUAACUCCGUGCCAGCAGCCGCGGUAAUACGGAGGGUGCAAGCGUUGUUCGGAAUUACUGGGCGUAAAGGGCGCGUAGGCGGCGCUGUAAGUCAGAUGUGAAAGUCCACGGCUCAACCGUGGAAGUGCAUCUGAUACUGCAGCGCUUGAGUAUCGGAGGGGAAAGUAGAAUUCCCGGUGUAGAGGUGAAAUUCGUAGAUAUCGGGAGGAAUACCGGUGGCGAAGGCGACUUUCUGGACGAAUACUGACGCUGAUGCGCGAAAGCGUGGGGAGCAAACAGGAUUAGAUACCCUGGUAGUCCACAGCUGUAAACGAUGUGCACUAGAUGUUGGGGGUGUUGACCCCUCCAGUGUCGCAGCAAACGCAUUAA